RNAcentral lists this ribosomal RNA (452 nucleotides) under uncultured bacterium. RNAcentral's name for it is "partial 16S ribosomal RNA". It matches the Rfam family "Bacterial small subunit ribosomal RNA", at positions 29 to 523 of the family's 1533-position model. The record is from RNAcentral.
AGCGAACGCUGGCGGCAGGCUUAACACAUGCAAGUCGAGCGGGCAUCUUCGGGUGUCAGCGGCGGACGGGUGAGUAACGCGUGGGAACGUGCCUUCUGGUUCGGAAUAACUCAGGGAAACUUGAGCUAAUACCGGAUACGCCCUUUUUGGGGAAAGGUUUACUGCCGGAAGAUCGGCCCGUGUCUGAUUAGCUAGUUGGUGGGGUAACGGCCUACCAAGGCGACCAUCAGUAGCUGGUCUGAGAGGAUGAUCAGCCACACUGGGACUGAGACACGGCCCAGACUCCUACGGGAGGCAGCAGUGGGGAAUAUUGGACAAUGGGCGCAAGCCUGAUCCAGCCAUGCCGCGUGAGUGAUGAAGGCCUUAGGGUUGUAAAGCUCUUUUAUCCGGGACGAUAAUGACGGUACCGGAGGAAUAAGCCCCGGCUAACUUCGUGCCAGCCGCCGCAGUAA